RNAcentral lists this ribosomal RNA (254 nucleotides) under uncultured bacterium. RNAcentral describes it as "partial 16S ribosomal RNA". It matches the Rfam family "Bacterial small subunit ribosomal RNA", at positions 524 to 776 of the family's 1533-position model. The record is from RNAcentral.
CACGUAGGCACCAAGCGUUGUCCGGAUUUAUUGGGCGUAAAGAGCUCGUAGGCGGUUCAGUAAGUCGGGUGUGAAAACUCUGGGCUCAACCCAGAGACGCCACCCGAUACUGCUGUGACUUGAGUUCGGUAGGGGAGACUGGAAUUCCUGGUGUAGCGGUGAAAUGCGCAGAUAUCAGGAGGAACACCGGUGGCGAAGGCGGGUCUCUGGGCCGAUACUGACGCUGAGGAGCGAAAGCGUGGGGAGCGAACAGG